Molecule: signal recognition particle RNA, 97 nt
Filed under: Candidatus Opitulatrix roisinitermitis
Lineage: Bacteria; Bacillati; Actinomycetota; Actinomycetes; Bifidobacteriales; Bifidobacteriaceae
Description: signal recognition particle sRNA small type
Rfam family: Bacterial small signal recognition particle RNA
About the family: The signal recognition particle (SRP) is a universally conserved ribonucleoprotein involved in the co-translational targeting of proteins to membranes.
Source: RNAcentral
AUAACGGCUCUAUAUGGUACAACAUAGCCUAAUCCCCCCAGGACAGAAAUGUAGCAAGGGUAAGCUAGCUCUUGUAGGUAUAUAGAGCCUUUUAUUA